GCAGUCGAACGGUGAUAUUUAUAUCAUAGUGGCGCACGGGUGCGUAACACGUAUGCAACCUACCUAUUAUUGGGGGAUAGCCUUUGGAAACGGAGAUUAAUACCGCAUAAUACGAUUAACUGGCAUCGGUUGAUUGUUAAAGCAUUUGCGAUAAUAGAUGGGCAUGCGUCCAAUUAGUUAGUUGGUGUGGUAAUGGCUCACCAAGACGAUGAUUGGUAGGGGAUCUGAGAGGAUAAUCCCCCACACUGGCACUGAGAUACGGGCCAGACUCCUACGGGAGGCAGCAGUAGGGAAUAUUGGGCAAUGGGCGGAAGCCUGACCCAGCCAUGCCGCGUGCAGGAAGACGGCGUUAUGCGUUGUAAACUGCUUUUUUAUAGGAAGAAGGAUCCCUUGCGAGGGAAGGUGACGGUACUAUAAGAAUAAGCACCGGCUAACUCCGUGCCAGCAGCCGCGGUAAUACGGAGGGUGCAAGCGUUGUCCGGAUUUAUUGGGUUUAAAGGGUGCGUAGGCGGUUUAUUAAGUCAGUGGUGAAAGACGGUCGCUCAACGAUUGCAGUGCCAUUGAUACUGGUAGACUUGAGUGAGAUUGAGGUAGCUGGAAUGGAUAGUGUAGCGGUGAAAUGCAUAGAUAUUAUCCAGAACACCGAUUGCGAAGGCAGGUUACUAAGUCUUAACUGACGCUGAGGCACG
This 689-nucleotide ribosomal RNA is filed under the name uncultured bacterium. RNAcentral describes it as "bacterial SSU rRNA". It matches the Rfam family "Bacterial small subunit ribosomal RNA", at positions 57 to 755 of the family's 1533-position model. The record is from RNAcentral.